This 2679-nucleotide long non-coding RNA is filed under the name Theobroma cacao (cacao). Its description in RNAcentral is "long non-coding RNA (TCAC_LNC005775)". The record is from RNAcentral. Lineage: Eukaryota; Viridiplantae; Streptophyta; Magnoliopsida; Malvales; Malvaceae.
UGAGAACAACGUCGGGUCAAUCCAAACCUGAAAUAUUUGUUUUCCAUAUGGAAACUUCCUACCUCAUGAGUCAUCACCAUCCUAUAGGGUUUUGAAAUGACCGUAAUAUCCUCAUAUAUGUCAAAAUCACAUUCCAAUUCUAAUUAAUAACCCGACACUACAUACAAAGGACUUGAAAGACCAGAAUAACCUUUACUUUCCCCAAAAUUCCAUACAAAACCGACUUAAGACGUGAAGUUCCAAAAAUAGCCUAAAAACCCACGUUAAAAGAUCAUAAUAACCUUGACCUCAUCUUAUAAUAUCAUCCGUCCUAUAAAAUGACACUAAAAUACCAUAAACAUACCCAAAAACAUUGGGAAAAGACCAAAGAAGAACGAGUAAAGGCGACCUGGCACCUCCUGAAGAAGAACGGUGACUAGGCUUUUUAAAAUAGAGAGGAAACAGGCGGCAGAAGGAAGGGGGAAGAGAAGAAAAGAGGAAAGGAAAAGAAAGAGGGAGCUACCGUAAAGGCCUAGGCCGGCGAAGGCUAAGGCGACGGCAUCGGGGACCGACAAAGGGAGAGAUGGUUGCGAGAAAGGGUGUUGGUUGCUACUCUGCUAUGGUUAGCGAGAGAAAAAGAGAGAAAGAUGAAUAACAGGGAAAGGGGUUGGCUGCCAACGUCAGGUUAAGAUUUUAUCUGAAGAUAAAACUACGUCGUUUUACUUGAUACAAAAAAAGUGGGUUGGAUCCAACCAAGCCCAACCCGGAUUAGCUUUAGGCUUUAGCGUAUCUGGGUCAAACCCAACAAGAUAUUUUUUAACUCAUUGUUUUAUCUUUUAAUUGUUUAUUUUAUUUACGUAAUUUUUAUUUUUAUGGACGAAUUAAAUUUAUCAAAUUACUUUAAAAAAUAAAUAAAAAUAAAAAAUUUAAUUUAAUAAAUUUAAUAAGUACUUUCUAAAAUUGUUGGGCAAUCCCAAGAUUAUUUUCACAAGGUGCAUUAAUUCUAAAUAAUUACAAAGACAUGGGAUAAAAAAAUGUUGAUGAAAGUUGAAGUAAGAUUUUAUUAAUAUUAACAUAUAUUAAGAUAUAAAAUAUCAAAUCUUUGCAAAAAUUAAAAAUUACUUAAAUAAUAAAUUUUAAUCCACACAAAAAAAUAAAAUAUUAGUAUUUUAAAUUAUUAUCUUUAAUUUAUAUUACUACUAUUAUUUAUAAUAUUUUUAAAUUUAAUAUUUUUUAUUGUUAUUACUUUUAUUUAUAAUAUUAUAUAAUUUAAAAUUAUUUUUUAUCAUAAAUAUUUGGAAAAAAAGAAUGACAGCCACUCAAAGCGAGGCACCACUUUGGUUUAUUAUUAAAAUGGUAAAUAUUGAUAAUUUAUUAUUUAAUAUAUUAGUAAGUUAUUAUUAAAAUAUUUGUAGUUUUCUAAGGAAAUAGUAAUACGAUUUUAUCUAAAUGUAAAUUAAUAUGAUUAUUAUUUUAGACAUAAUAUUUAAAAAAAGUUAUUAAACAAUUAAAAAAAUUCAAACAAAUCUUUAUACUUUUAUUACGUUCAAUCAAAUUCUUAUAUUUUUUAUUUUAAGUUAAAUAAAUUUUAAUAUUUUUUAUUUUAAAUUAAAUAAUAUUUUAUAUUUAAUGAUUGAUUUAAUUAAAAUAUUAUUUAUCAUUUUAUAUUAUGUGACGAUGAUGUAACAUGCUAAUAUGUUAUAAUUGAUAAUGAUAUGAUAUAUUGACAUAUCAUAAUUAAUGAUGCUAUGAUAUAAUUAUAUAACAUGAUAAUAUAGUUAUUGAUAUUUUUUACUAUUCACAUCAGUGAAUGACAAGUGACAUUUUGAGUAAUAACAAUUAAUCAACUAUUUGUAAUAAAAGCUUACUUAACAUAAAAUAAAAAUAUAAAGAUUUAAUUGAACGUAAUAGAAGAAUAAGAAUUUUAUUUGAAUAUUUUUUAAUAAUUUAAAAACUUUUUUUAGCAUUAUGUCAUUAUUUUAUCUUUAUUUUCAUUUUUUCUAGUUUUUCUCAUUUAAUGUUGUUUUUAUUAGAAUAAUAUUAAAAUAUUAAUAAUAUAAUAUAUUAUUAAUAAUAAAAUAUUAUUAAAAAUCAUAAUUUAAUACUUUAUUAUUUAAAUAUUAAUAUUUUAGUAUUAAUAUAUUAAUAAUUAAUUACUGAAAUGUUAUUAAUUUAUUAUUAAAAUAUUAAUAUGUUUUUGUUUUGAUAUGUUGUUGCUUUUUCAAUAUUUUAAUUUUUCUUUUUUCCCUUUUAAAUUCUUUUUAUUAAAAUAAUAAUAAUAAUAAUUUAAUAAUUUAUCAUUAAAAUAUUAAACUGAUAUUUUAUAUAGUAAGGUUAGUAAUUCAAUUUGAUUAGGUUGGUGUGGAAUGAGAUAUUUGAAUGCAAUUUAAAAUUUUUAAUUUCAUUUUAGCCGGGUUUGAAUGUUAAUGUGCAGUGGAGAUAAAGUUGUAUAGGAACGAAAUUCUCUUCAAAUUGAGUGGUGGGAGAAUGGCUAUGUUAUUUUUUCUUUUUUGAAACGAGAACGGUUGUGUUAUUAACUAUCUGUCACAUGAUUAACUAGCUAGAUUAUAUUGUGCGUCAGUGAAUAUAUCUAGACAUCUUAAGCCCAAAUUCUUUAUAUAUUACAGGAUUAUUUUUCUUGUUGAUGUUCUUUAUGUACUUAAUAGGCCACUAAACUAUGUCUUAGUUAAUGGCUAUGAG